RNAcentral lists this ribosomal RNA (253 nucleotides) under uncultured bacterium. RNAcentral's name for it is "partial 16S ribosomal RNA". It matches the Rfam family "Bacterial small subunit ribosomal RNA", at positions 524 to 776 of the family's 1533-position model. The record is from RNAcentral.
UACGUAGGGACCAAGCGUUGUUCGGAUUUACUGGGCGUAAAGGGCGCGUAGGCGGCAAUUCAAGUCAGCUGUGAAAUCUCUGGGCUUAACCCAGAACGGCCAGCUGAUACUGCUUUGCUAGAGUGCAGAAGGGGCAAUCGGAAUUCUUGGUGUAGCGGUGAAAUGCGUAGAUAUCAAGAGGAACACCUGAGGUGAAGACGGGUUGCUGGGCUGACACUGACGCUGAGGCGCGAAAGCCAGGGGAGCGAACGGG